GGUCUGGUAGUGUAAUGGGAACACGCCUGUUGCUUAUACAGUGGAUGAAACAGAUUUCUGUAGGUGAUCAUUGUUCGAAUCAAGGUCAGGCCA
Molecule: non-coding RNA, 93 nt
Organism: Mycena latifolia
Lineage: Eukaryota; Fungi; Basidiomycota; Agaricomycetes; Agaricales; Mycenaceae
Source: the annotation of a GenBank genome assembly